RNAcentral lists this ribosomal RNA (465 nucleotides) under Vreelandella stevensii. RNAcentral's name for it is "partial 16S ribosomal RNA". It matches the Rfam family "Bacterial small subunit ribosomal RNA", at positions 338 to 795 of the family's 1533-position model. Lineage: Bacteria; Pseudomonadati; Pseudomonadota; Gammaproteobacteria; Oceanospirillales; Halomonadaceae. The record is from RNAcentral.
CCUACGGGGGGCUGCAGUGGGGAAUAUUGGACAAUGGGCGAAAGCCUGAUCCAGCCAUGCCGCGUGUGUGAAGAAGGCCUUCGGGUUGUAAAGCACUUUCAGUGGGGAAGAAAGCCUUGGGGCUAAUACCCUCGAGGAAGGACAUCACCCACAGAAGAAGCACCGGCUAACUCCGUGCCAGCAGCCGCGGUAAUACGGAGGGUGCGGGCGUUAAUCGGAAUUACUGGGCGUAAAGCGCGCGUAGGCGGUCUGAUAAGCCGGUUGUGAAAGCCCCGGGCUCAACCUGGGAACGGCAUCCGGAACUGUCAGGCUAGAGUGCAGGAGAGGAAGGUAGAAUUCCCGGUGUAGCGGUGAAAUGCGUAGAGAUCGGGAGGAAUACCAGUGGCGAAGGCGGCCUUCUGGACUGACACUGACGCUGAGGUGCGAAAGCGUGGGUAGCAAACAGGAUUAGAUACCCGGGUAGUC